GUGUAGAGAGAGAGAGGAUUAACACAGCCAAUUUUAAAGGACAUGAAGAUUUACUACUUGCCUGGAAUUAAUGUAGGCACAUUAAAGACAUGCCAUGGAUGGCUGUAGACCCUCUCCAUCCGGCUGCCACGUUGAAUUAUCACUUGCAAGA
Populus euphratica (Euphrates poplar) is the source of this 151-nucleotide long non-coding RNA. RefSeq lists it as uncharacterized. The record is from RefSeq and is a predicted model, not a curated record. NCBI's taxonomy places the organism in Eukaryota, Viridiplantae, Streptophyta, Magnoliopsida, Malpighiales, Salicaceae. The transcript has 2 exons.